UUCAAUACGAGUCACGACAACUGUCACGUCAGCGUCUUCUCGAAGAGUUUGAACUUAUUUUUUCUUUAUACAUCUUCAUCUUAUACACAGUCAACUAUGACAAGAGGAAACCAGAGAGAGCUUGCUCGGGCCAAGAAUGCCAAAAAGCAACAGGCAAAAUCUGCUUCUGAGCAUAAAGGAAACAAGGGAAAGUCGCUGGACGAUAGGAAACAAAGAGAUGCUGAUAUAAUGAGAAUGAAACAAGAAAAGGCAGCGGCAAAGAAGGCAGAAGGGGCGGCCGGGACUUCUAAAAAGUAACGUCAGGAUGUGGAAUGUGUUGUGUUCACCUACAUGUAGACUAUUGGAAGUGCCAGCAAUGCUUCAGAACAAUGACCAAGAAAUAGAGGCGCAAUGAGAAAUAUUUUUAUAACCAUGCAUACAUCAAGUAACCUGUUCUGUAUUUUGGAAACAUAAGCAGUGAAUGUUGAUGAAUAACUGAUAUGUACGUGUAGAGUAGAAACAUUGAUCAGUGUUUAUUACAUCACUUUUACAUGUACUUGUACACAUCAUCGUACAUGUAUGUAGAUUUGUUUCAGUCGUUAAGCCUCCAUAUUACAGUGUAUUUGUGUUAUCGAAAAAGGCAAACAUUAUCCACAAAUCUUCCUCUGAGACCUAAAAAUUGGGAGUGUUGCCAUUGGAUUUGGAAAUGCCGAUUAACAAUAUUAUCAGGUGUGUUCUGGGACAUGGACGUUUAAAUGAUUUCCAUGCUUUUAGGAAACCAUUCUGUCAUGAUAUCCCUUGACAUUAAUUUCAGUGAAUGAAUAGGAAAAAACAUGCAAUAAUGUGAAAAGAGGAAAACAAAUCUUGACAGUUUUGUUUCAUUCUUGAAUGACUUCAUGAUUUAAAGAAAGGUUCAAAUUUAGUUCCCAUUUGUACAGAGAUUUUCAUUGUAACUAUUUUUGAUAUCUUUAUUUUACCAUUAAAUCCAUUGAAACAUUUGUACAUGAAUGUUGCAUUUGGCAUUUAUGUGUGACACUAAUAUUGUGUCCAUGACACCAUUUAAUGUCCUUUUUUGAUAUAUUUGAAGCCUGUAGGAAUACUUUACAAAUUUCAGUUGAAUAUCAUUGAUGUCUCCGACAAGGGAUCAUUAACAGAGCUGCCAAAUAGUUUUGACUGGAUGUUGUGGUAUCCACCUAUAAUUCAUGUUACAUAAGUUGCAAAUCGAUGCAGAGUUUUGAGUCCUGGGUCAUAUCUUUUUGACGGUGAACAUGAAAUGUUGGUCCCAGACUCCCA
Lytechinus variegatus (green sea urchin) is the source of this 1272-nucleotide long non-coding RNA. RefSeq lists it as uncharacterized. The transcript is spliced from 3 exons. The record is from RefSeq and is a predicted model, not a curated record. Lineage: Eukaryota; Metazoa; Echinodermata; Echinoidea; Temnopleuroida; Toxopneustidae.